CGACUUGUGUGAGCUUAUUUUUC
Molecule: microRNA, 23 nt
Filed under: Ananas comosus (pineapple)
Lineage: Eukaryota; Viridiplantae; Streptophyta; Magnoliopsida; Poales; Bromeliaceae
Description: microRNA s0713_c93a
Source: RNAcentral